RNAcentral lists this long non-coding RNA (1137 nucleotides) under Chloebia gouldiae (Gouldian finch). RNAcentral describes it as "Erythrura gouldiae (Gouldian finch) lncRNA (ENSEGOG00005013597.1)". Lineage: Eukaryota; Metazoa; Chordata; Aves; Passeriformes; Passeridae. The record is from RNAcentral.
AUGUCCGGCAGGACAACUCCGACCUCAAUAAAAGGUCUCCAGGUGCCUCUGCUCCUCACACACCUUCAGCUCUCAGCAAGAACGGUCCUCGCUCCGGCCACCCUUCGCUCCUCUCCCAACACCAUGUGUUCCACUGGAUGCUGUUCCACGGGAUGCUGCUCUGUCGUGAAGAGCAAGACCGUGUGCUGCAGCCCCUGCAAGACCGUGUGCUGCAGCCCCUGCAAGCCCAUGUGCUGCAGCCCCUGCAAGACUGUGUGCUGCAGCCCCUGCAAGACCGUGUGCUGCAGCCCCUGCAAGACCGUGUGCUGCUCCCCAUGCCAGCAAUCUUGCCGCUGCGACCCGUGCCAGAAGACUGUGUGCUGUGACCCGUGCCAGACUUGCUGUGACCCAUGCCAGCCCUGCUGUGACCCGUGCCAGACCUGCUGUGACCCAUGCCAGAAGCCCUGCUGUGACCCGUGCCAGACCUGCUGUGACCCGUGCCAGAAGCCUUGCUGUGAUCCAUGCCAGACUGUNNNNNNNNNNUGUGACCCAUGCCAGACCUGCUGUGACCCGUGCCAGAAGCCUUGCUGCGACCCGUGCCAGACCUGCUGUAACCCGUGCCAGUCCGUGUGCUGCACCAAGGUGUGCCAGAAGACUGCGUGCUGUGUCCCACGGCCCUGCUGCAGCCCCUGCGGGUCCCUGUCCUGCUGCUCCUGCGUGGUCAAGAAGCCCAUGGUGGUUUGCUGCACCCCGAUGAGGAAGUGCUGCACCCCCUGCAUCCCCAUCCAGCAGUGCUGCGCCAGCCUCAGGAAGACCUGCUGAGCUGCCCCGGGUGGCUCUGAGGGCUCCAGGAAUGGGCACAAGGAGGGGAAAAGCUGCUCGUUUGUUUCUGGUUUUCACGGUGAUGGAGCCAAUUCAUAGCGAUUUUCUUCUUUCCAAGAUUAAGCUGCUGCUUCUUUCUGUCCUUUAGUUAUCCAUUGUCUUUAAUUAUUGACUGUCUUGAGUACUCCUGAAUUUAUCGCCCAUUGUAUAAGGCAUUAGAUCUUAGUGGGGUGUUAAUUCUCCUCUUGGUGUUUGGGAAACCUUUGGUGUCACUAUGACCACUCAUCAUUUCCUCUCUUGACUUGUAGACAAUAAAAUUUAGCAUUGAGCAAAACA